This 460-nucleotide ribosomal RNA is filed under the name uncultured bacterium. RNAcentral's name for it is "partial 16S ribosomal RNA". It matches the Rfam family "Bacterial small subunit ribosomal RNA", at positions 338 to 795 of the family's 1533-position model. The record is from RNAcentral.
CCUACGGGAGGCAGCAGUGAGGAAUAUUGGUCAAUGGGCGAGAGCCUGAACCAGCCAAGUCGCGUGAAGGAUGACGGCCCUACGGGUUGUAAACUUCUUUUGUCAGGGAGCAAUUGGGUCCACGCGUGGGCUUAGCGAGAGUACCUGAAGAAAAAGCAUCGGCUAACUCCGUGCCAGCAGCCGCGGUAAUACGGGGGAUGCGAGCGUUAUCCGGAUUUAUUGGGUUUAAAGGGUGCGUAGGCGGAAUAUCAAGUCAGCGGUAAAACUUCGGGGCUCAACCCCGUCGUGCCGUUGAAACUGAUGUUCUUGAGUGGGCGAGAAGUAUGCGGAAUGCGUGGUGUAGCGGUGAAAUGCAUAGAUAUCACGCAGAACGCCGAUUGCGAAGGCAGCAUACCGGCGCCCAACUGACGCUGAAGCACGAAAGCGUGGGUAUCGAACAGGAUUAGAUACCCGUGUAGUC